Molecule: transfer RNA, 71 nt
Filed under: Ovis aries (sheep)
Lineage: Eukaryota; Metazoa; Chordata; Mammalia; Artiodactyla; Bovidae
Rfam family: tRNA
About the family: Transfer RNA (tRNA) molecules are approximately 80 nucleotides in length. Their secondary structure includes four short double-helical elements and three loops (D, anti-codon, and T loops).
Source: Rfam by way of RNAcentral
UCCUCAUAGCUGAGUCAGUAAAGAAUCUGCCUACAAGGCAGAAGACCUGGGUUUGAUUCCUGGGUCAGGAA